RNAcentral lists this ribosomal RNA (434 nucleotides) under uncultured Lachnospiraceae bacterium. RNAcentral describes it as "bacterial SSU rRNA". It matches the Rfam family "Bacterial small subunit ribosomal RNA", at positions 341 to 792 of the family's 1533-position model. The record is from RNAcentral. Lineage: Bacteria; Bacillati; Bacillota; Clostridia; Lachnospirales; Lachnospiraceae.
ACGGAAGGCAGCAGUGGGGAAUAUUGCACAAUGGGGGAAACCCUGAUGCAGCGACGCCGCGUGAGCGAAGAAGUAUUUCGGUAUGUAAAGCUCUAUCAGCAGGGAAGAAAAUGACGGUACCUGACUAAGAAGCUCCGGCUAAAUACGUGCCAGCAGCCGCGGUAAUACGUAUGGAGCAAGCGUUAUCCGGAUUUACUGGGUGUAAAGGGAGCGUAGGCGGCCGCGCAAGUCAGGUGUGAAAACCCGGGGCUUAACUCCGGGACUGCACUUGAAACUGUGAGGCUGGAGUACGGGAGAGGCAAGUGGAAUUCCUAGUGUAGCGGUGAAAUGCGUAGAUAUUAGGAAGAACACCAGUGGCGAAGGCGACUUGCUGGACCGCAACUGACGCUGAGGCUCGAAAGCGUGGGGAGCAAACAGGAUUAGAUACCCUGGUA